RNAcentral lists this ribosomal RNA (331 nucleotides) under uncultured soil bacterium. RNAcentral's name for it is "bacterial SSU rRNA". It matches the Rfam family "Bacterial small subunit ribosomal RNA", at positions 26 to 371 of the family's 1533-position model. The record is from RNAcentral.
AGAUUGAACGCUGGCGGCAUGCCUAACACAUGCAAGUCGAACGGGAGUAGCAAUACUCUAGUGGCGGACGGGUGAGGAAUACGUAGGAAUUUGCCCUUAAGUGGGGGAUAACCCGGGGAAACCCGGAUUAAUACCGCAUGACCUCGAAAGAGCAAAGUGGGGGAUCGCAAGACCUCACGCUUUUGGAGAAGCCUACGUCGGAUUAGCUAGUUGGUGAGGUAAUGGCUCACCAAGGCGACGAUCCGUAACUGGUCUGAGAGGAUGAUCAGUCACACCGAACUGAGACACGGUCCGACUCCUACGGGAGCAGCAGUGGGGAAUAGUUGGACAA